Molecule: small nucleolar RNA, 121 nt
Filed under: Echinops telfairi (small Madagascar hedgehog)
Lineage: Eukaryota; Metazoa; Chordata; Mammalia; Afrosoricida; Tenrecidae
Description: Small nucleolar RNA SNORA61 (ENSETEG00000024291.1)
Source: RNAcentral
ACCUUCCAGAGUCCUUACCCCUUAGACCUAAACCACGGGUCUGAGUGGCCAUAAAAGGAGGAAAAGUAAAACUGAGUGGACUUAGAUUCUUUAGGGACAUACAAGUUCAUUUCACAGAAAG